GUCUCCGUAGGUGAACCUGCGGAGGGAUCAUUACAGAGUUCAUGCCCUACCGGGUAGAUCUCCCACCCUAUGUUAUUAUUACUUUGUUGCUUUGGCGGGCCGUUAGGCUCCGGCCCGACUACCGGCCCCGGCUGGUAAGCGCCCGCCAGAGGACCCAAAACCCUGAAUAGUAGUGUCGUCUGAGUACUAUAUAAUAGAUAAAACUUUCAACAACGGAUCUCUUGGUUCUG
This 230-nucleotide unclassified non-coding RNA is filed under the name plant metagenome. RNAcentral's name for it is "partial contains small subunit ribosomal RNA, internal transcribed spacer 1, and 5.8S ribosomal RNA". The record is from RNAcentral.